UAACACAUGCAAGUCGAACGGUAGCAGGCCCUUCGGGGUGCUGACGAGUGGCGGACCGGUGAGUAAUGCAUAGGAAUCUGCCCUAUAGUGGGGGAUAACCUGGGGAAACUCAGGCUAAUACCGCAUAAUCUCUACUGAGGAAAGCGGGGGAUCGUAAGACCUCGCGCUAUUGGAUGAGCCUAUGUCCGAUUAGCUAGUUGGUGGGGUAACGGCCCACCAAGGCGACGAUCGGUAGCUGGUUUGAGAGAAUGACCAGCCACACUGGGACUGAGACACGGCCCAGACUCCUACUGGAGGCAGCAGUGGG
RNAcentral lists this small RNA (307 nucleotides) under uncultured bacterium. RNAcentral's name for it is "bacterial SSU rRNA". It matches the Rfam family "Bacterial small subunit ribosomal RNA", at positions 49 to 358 of the family's 1533-position model. The record is from RNAcentral.